This 253-nucleotide ribosomal RNA is filed under the name uncultured bacterium. RNAcentral describes it as "partial 16S ribosomal RNA". It matches the Rfam family "Bacterial small subunit ribosomal RNA", at positions 524 to 776 of the family's 1533-position model. The record is from RNAcentral.
UACGUAGGGUGCAGGCGUUAAUCGGAAUUACUGGGCGUAAAGCGUGCGCAGGCGGUUUGCUAAGACAGGUGUGAAAUCCCCGAGCUUAACUUGGGAACUGCGCUUGUAACUGGCAAGCUAGAGUGUGGCAGAGGGGGGUGGAAUUCCACGUGUAGCAGUGAAAUGCGUAGAUAUGCGGAGGAACACCGAUGGCGAAGGCAAUCCCCUGGGCCUGCACUGACGCUCAUGCACGAAAGCGUGGGGAGCAAACAGG